Long non-coding RNA from Corvus hawaiiensis (hawaiian crow), 1854 nucleotides. RefSeq lists it as uncharacterized. The record is from RefSeq and is a predicted model, not a curated record. The transcript has 3 exons. NCBI's taxonomy places the organism in Eukaryota, Metazoa, Chordata, Aves, Passeriformes, Corvidae.
UUUUGCAAGCCUCAUUCCUCAACCAACUCCUUCCCUCCUGCCAUCCACUCAAGCAGACCCUGAGGCCCCCCACUGAGUUCUCUCUCCAUGCCUUAUUGCUGCUGUGCUGCCUUCUCCAUCCCUGGCCCUGCAGGCCCCUCAUCUCCUGCAUUGCCUGCAAGCCCCUCACUGUUCUCAGCCACUUCUCAGCCUGUUUGCUGACCUCUCCUUCCUACUCCUCCUUGCACGUCCUCUCUGUCCUGCCCUCGUGUUCCUCACUGCCUGCUGCUUCCCCCCCUCUCACUAUAGCAAUAUAUGUAUUUAUUUAUUUAUCUCUGUACGUGUCUCAGUUUUUGUAUGUUGAGUGUACAGGCCCAGGGUGAAUGAAGAAUUCAAACCAUCCUGGAGAGACACAGGGUCAAGCAGCCUGGCAAGUACACAGGGCCACGAGGCAGACUGAUGGGACAAGCUGCAGCUCUUACCCUUGGGAGACUCACAUAACUUGUGAAAAUCGUGCGCACGGUACUGUGCCUGAAAAGGAUGCGUCAUCAUCUACAUUUAACAGUGGUAUCAGCAGAGAAAAUGGGAUGAAGCAUGCACUGAAGGCAUUUGAAGGAACAAUUUUUCAGCUGCUUUUCUCUAUGCCAGAUGAUUCUGUUGUUCAGUCCAUCUCUCCGGGUGGUGCUGUAAACAGGGAGUCACACAGAAGAAAAAGAUCUUUUCUGUCAGCCAUGCUGGGGGAACAAAAAAUGGGCUUUUCAGGAGAAUCCAGCUCCCUCAGCCAUUGCUUAUAAGACUUAUGUUCCAGCCCCUGGAAGUGAUGGAAAAGCAGAAGAGAUAAGACCUGUUCUAUAGAGGUAAGUCAUCACAAAUUUAUGUUCAUGCAAGCCAUAGCCAAACCAGGGAUAUUUUAGAAGGCUCUUCUGCCCCAAUGAAUCUGUCAUGAAGAAGACCAGACACACAAAGGACCGAUACAGCUGUCUUUGGAAGUGGAAUUUACAUCUCUGACUCAGAAGUGAGGUUUCAUAUGACAAUGACAUAGAGCAAAUAAGGAGAAAUUCUGAAGAACAGGGAGAGCCAGUUUAGGGGGCAGGACAGAAGCAUACUGGAGCUCAGCUUUGGUUUGUGUGAAUAUGUGUGUGUGUGAUAACCAGCGUAUCUCUCAAAUAACAGGCUGCCCAGAGUUGUUGGGGCUGCUCCAUCCCUGGAAGUGUUCAAGGCCAAGCAUUCAACGAGAUGGCUUUGAGAAACGUGGCCUAGCGGAAGGUGUCCCCACCCAUGGUAAGGGGGUUGGAACUAAAUGAUCUUUAAGGUCCCUUCCAACCCAAUCAGUUGAUGAUUGUGGAUUUAGCUAAAUGGAUUAUGCCCUACGUAAACCCGACAUCCACCAACUGAAAUAUCUUCUUAGUUGGGAGGGUUUGUAUUUUUUUCUUUCCUCAAGAUGGAAGGGAUGGUAGAACAACAAAAGGAGUUUGGUAGAACUCCAAAAGGGAGUUUUGUGAAUUAAAUAUUCUUUAAAUUUAUUCUGUCAGAUUUUUUUUUCCUCUAAAUGUGCAGAAGCAUACUGUGCAGUGCAUGGCAGCAUGACUGAGGGUGAGUCUGUUCAAGCACUGAUCUGCCACAACUCUGAAGAAACCAUAAUUAAAGUUACAAUAUUGCUUAACCAAGGGGAUAUACUGCUUGGUUUCCUGGUUUGUUUGCACAUCAAAAUCUACUUUUUGCUUAAAAGGGCCUACCUAAAGUCCCUUAAAUUUUGCCAAGCCUUGAAAUAUGCACAUACAGAAGUUGUACCUGGGAGCAAACACUUUGCAAAAAUACCUAAAAAUAAUCAUUUAGAUGUUUGAAGAAUUUUAUAUAGGACCAUGAUUUUUAAUG